This 69-nucleotide transfer RNA is filed under the name Cricetulus griseus (Chinese hamster). It matches the Rfam family "tRNA". From Rfam's summary of the family: Transfer RNA (tRNA) molecules are approximately 80 nucleotides in length. Their secondary structure includes four short double-helical elements and three loops (D, anti-codon, and T loops). Lineage: Eukaryota; Metazoa; Chordata; Mammalia; Rodentia; Cricetidae. The record is from Rfam by way of RNAcentral.
AGAGAUGUAGCUCAGUUGUAGAGUGCUUGUCUAGAGUGCAAGAGGCCCUGGGUUCAAUCCUCAGCACUA